Molecule: ribosomal RNA, 253 nt
Filed under: uncultured bacterium
Lineage: Bacteria
Description: partial 16S ribosomal RNA
Rfam family: Bacterial small subunit ribosomal RNA
Source: RNAcentral
UACGUAGGGGGCAAGCGUUGUCCGGAUUUAUUGGGCGUAAAGAGCGUGUAGGCGGUUUGGUAGGUCCGUUGUGAAAACUCGAGGCUCAACCUCGAGACGCCGAUGGAAACCAUCAGACUAGAGUCCGGAAGAGGAGAGUGGAAUUCCUGGUGUAGCGGUGAAAUGCGCAGAUAUCAGGAAGAACACCCGUGGCUAAGGCGGCUCUCUAGGACGGUACUGACGCUGAGACGCGAAAGCGUGGGGAGCGAACAGG